This 447-nucleotide ribosomal RNA is filed under the name uncultured bacterium. Its description in RNAcentral is "bacterial SSU rRNA". It matches the Rfam family "Bacterial small subunit ribosomal RNA", at positions 328 to 792 of the family's 1533-position model. The record is from RNAcentral.
UUACCAGACUCCUACGGGAGGCAGCAGUGGGGAAUAUUGCACAAUGGGGGAAACCCUGAUGCAGCGACGCCGCGUGAGUGAAGAAGUAUUUCGGUAUGUAAAGCUCUAUCAGCAGGGAAGAAAAUGACGGUACCUGAUUAAGAAGCCCCGGCUAACUACGUGCCAGCAGCCGCGGUAAUACGUAGGGGGCAAGCGUUAUCCGGAUUUACUGGGUGUAAAGGGAGCGUAGACGGCAGCGCAAGUCUGAAGUGAAAUGCCGGGGCUUAACCCCGGAACUGCUUUGGAAACUGUGCAGCUAGAGUGCAGGAGAGGUAAGUGGAAUUCCUAGUGUAGCGGUGAAAUGCGUAGAGAUCUGGAGGAAUACCGGUGGCGAAGGCGGCCCCCUGGACGAAGACUGACGCUCAGGUGCGAAAGCGUGGGGAGCAAACAGGAUUAGAUACCCCGGUA